This 244-nucleotide unclassified non-coding RNA is filed under the name uncultured Bordetella sp. RNAcentral describes it as "partial 16S-23S ribosomal RNA intergenic spacer". It matches the Rfam family "Bacterial small subunit ribosomal RNA", at positions 11 to 255 of the family's 1533-position model. The record is from RNAcentral. Lineage: Bacteria; Pseudomonadati; Pseudomonadota; Betaproteobacteria; Burkholderiales; Alcaligenaceae.
GUUUGAUCCUGGCUCAGAUUGAACGCUGGCGGGAUGCUUUACACAUGCAAGUCGAACGGCAGCACGGACUUCGGUCUGGUGGCGAGUGGCGAACGGGUGAGUAAUGUAUCGGAACGUGCCUAGUAGCAAGAGGAUAACUACGCGAAAGCGUAGCUAAUACCGCAUACGCCCUUCGGGGGAAAGCGGGGGACAGCUGGGGCCUCGCACUAUUAGAACGGCCGAUAUCGGAUUAGCUAGUUGGUGG